GCAAACUUGGUCAUUUAGAGGAAGUAAAAGUCGUAACAAGGUAACCGUAGGUGAACCUGCGGUUGGAUCAUUACAAAACUGUGAUUGUGGUUCUCUGCUUAGAGACCAUGAAUCCAAACACCGUGUGAAUUGUAUUUGUACUUGGCAAGUUAUGCAUGCUUAUUGCUGGAUUCGGCUAUGAGUUUAAGCAUGAUUUUAAGCAUGUGCAGAGUUUCAAUAUGGCGCAAGUUCGCCUUAUUGAAGGCUUGCCACUGAUUUUAACCAUUGUUGUUAAUUGCGUCUGACCAAUUGAAUACAACGAAAUUUUGUUAAACAACUUUUGGCAACGGAUCUCUUGGCUCUCGCAUCGAUGAAGAACGCAGC
Molecule: unclassified non-coding RNA, 363 nt
Filed under: uncultured fungus
Lineage: Eukaryota; Fungi
Description: partial contains small subunit ribosomal RNA, internal transcribed spacer 1, and 5.8S ribosomal RNA
Rfam family: Eukaryotic small subunit ribosomal RNA (bases 1-73)
Source: RNAcentral